AUUUUAAUCAGUCAAAGGGAAUAACAAACCUUAAGAAAGAAAGAAGCUGAAGAUCUGAACACAUUUCUAGAUCUAAGCAAGUAUUCAUCUCUCUCUCUCUUUCUCUGUCUCUUUUAAACAGCAUCUUUUUAGCCAGAAGACUUUUUGGAGCAAAGCCAAGUGUGAAAUCAGAGUUUCUCAUUGCUAUGUUCCUGACAGAAUCAUAGCAGAAAGGUCUCCAAAUUGCCUGAUGGGCUGUAGAUUGAUUUCUGUACCACAGGUACAUUUGCUCAUUUACAACCAUUCUCAGCAUUUUCAAAAAAGGAUGCCUAAAAGUGUGAUGGUAUCCGGAUGUAUGGAGCAUACAGUUCAGGUGAGUAUUCUGGUUUUGGUCUAAUAUUUGAAAACACCUCACCAAAAUGACAGCCCUAGCAGUGUUUUGUGAAGAGCAGCUCUGUGGACUCCAGCAUACAUCACCAUGAGUAUCGCUCACUGGAUCUGGGGUCAGCGUUAAGGCCUCUGGAGCUCAACCUGUGG
Gallus gallus (chicken) is the source of this 516-nucleotide long non-coding RNA. The record is from Ensembl. Lineage: Eukaryota; Metazoa; Chordata; Aves; Galliformes; Phasianidae.